Molecule: long non-coding RNA, 810 nt
Filed under: Homo sapiens (human)
Lineage: Eukaryota; Metazoa; Chordata; Mammalia; Primates; Hominidae
Description: HSALNT0328996
Source: RNAcentral
GCAUCUCUGCCAACUCUAGAGAGUUUAGAUAUCUACUUAUUUAUAUCUACAUCUAUCUAUAUUUAUAUUAAACAAAAGUGACAGGACAUGGUAAUAGAUGCAAUGUAUAGGUGAAUUAGAGAGAGGUAUCAAGCUUGACUCCCAGGUUUCUGAUAGAAUGGCUGAAUUGAUGGCAAUACCUUUCACUGAGAGGAAACAUUGGCAGAAAACCAGUUUUGAAUGAAGAGGAUGCUUCCUUUUCCUUCUGACAUGAGUGGAACCAGCCAUAGGCCCUCAUCAGAGGCAGAUGCUGGCACUUUGCUUCUCGUACAGCCUGCAGAAUGUUAAUACUCUUGGAUAAUGUAUUUAAGGAUGCUUAAGAAAUUGCAACAGCCAGUUCAACCUUCAGCAACCACCAUACUGAUCAGUAGUCAUCAACAUUGAGACGAGACUGUACACCAGCAAAAAGAUCCCAACUCAAUGAAGGCUCAGAUGAUUUUAGCAUUUUUUUAGCAAUAAAGCAUUUUUAAAUUAAACUAUAUACAUUGUUGUUUUAGACAAGUUUUUGCACAUUCAGAAUACAGUAAAGUGUAAACAUGACUUUUAUAUACACUGGGGAAACCAAAAAAUUUGUGUGACUUACUUUAUUGCAAUAUUUGUUUUAUUGUGCUGAUCUGGAGCUAAAUAUAUCUGAGAUAUGCUUGUACUGAUGAUUAUUUUAACACCAAGAUAUUUUAAAAUUCAUUAAAUAAAUGUUUAUUUAAAUAGACCUCUAGCAUACAUUUACUGGUAACUAAAGGCUUUGUUAACAAAGGGAAAUACUAAAUUAUU